CCUACGGGAGGCUGCAGUGAGGAAUUUUGCGCAAUGGGGGAAACCCUGACGCAGCGACGCCGCGUGGAGGAAGACGGCCUUCGGGUUGUAAACUCCUGUCAGAGGUGAAGAAUGCCCGCAAGGGCUUGACGGUAACCUCAGAGGAAGCCCCGGCUAACUACGUGCCAGCAGCCGCGGUAAUACGUAGGGGGCGAGCGUUGCUCGGAAUUACUGGGCGUAAAGGGUGUGUAGGCGGCUGGUUAAGUCAUGGAUGAAAUCCCGAGGCUCAACUUCGGAAUGGUCCAUGAUACUGAUCAGCUUGAGGCUAGUUGAGGAGAGCGGAAUUCCCGGUGGAGCGGUGAAAUGCGUAGAUAUCGGGAGGAACACCAGAGGCGUAGGCGGCUCUCUAACCUAGUCCUGACGCUGAGACACGAAAGCUAGGGGAGCAAACGGGAUUAGAUACCCCUGUAGUC
This 452-nucleotide ribosomal RNA is filed under the name uncultured bacterium. RNAcentral describes it as "bacterial SSU rRNA". It matches the Rfam family "Bacterial small subunit ribosomal RNA", at positions 338 to 795 of the family's 1533-position model. The record is from RNAcentral.